UGCCAGAAUCAUAUGCUUGUCCCGAAGCUUAAGCCAUGCAUGUGUCAGAACAAUAGUAGCUUGAUCUAGAAUCUGCGAACGGCUCCGUAUAUCUGUUAUAACCUACCGCCGCUCAAAACCAGCGGCAUAACCACGGUAAUUCUGUGGCUAAUACGUGUACUACGGGCGCUGCCGGGCGCAAGCCUGGCGGCCCUGGUCUUGCCGGUCGACCAACGGCGGGUAAAACCGCUCGCGUGAGAGCUGGCAAGGGUACCUGACCGCGGCACCAGCUGCGGCACGAGCGGUGGGCAUCAGACCUAUCAACUAGAUGCCCAGGUAUUGUCUGGGCAUGGUGAUAACGGGUACAGAGGAUCAGGGUUCGGUCCUGGAGAGGUAGCCUGAGAGAUCGCUACUACUUCUAAGGAAGGCAGCAGGCGCGCAACGUUCCCAAUGGCCCGCGGUAAUUCCAGCUCCAAUAGCAUCUUGUUAAGUUGUUGCAGUUAAAACGCUCGUAGUCAAAGCCAGUGCGUCCCCUGGGCUCCUAGUACUGCGGUGCGCCCGCCUCGCCCCUAGCGGGGCCGAGGCGGGACCCGUGGGAGCGUUGUUCGGAGGCCACUAUUACGCUGGGGGAACCGGACGGGCGGGGCUUCAGUGUCCCGACCGCCCACCCUCGGCACUUUACUUUGAACAAACGUGAGCGCUCGAAGCAGGCCAUAUCGGCCCUUGAAACCCGCAGCAAAGAAUAAUGAAGCAGGAACCCCGCCUGCUCGUUGGUUAAGGUCGGGUUAAUGAUCUAUAGGGGCGAUCGGGGCGAGCCACAUGGCGGGGGUAGGGGUGAAAUCCGUUGAUCCUCGCCAGGUGAACUAAAGCGAAGGCAGCUCGCAAGUACGCUUUCUUUGAUCAAGAACGAAAGUCUGGGGAUCGAAGAUGAUCAGAUACCAUCGUAGUCCAGACCCUAAAUCAUGCCGGCCAUGGAUGGGCUCUCGUCCAUCCCGACCCAGCCCGCACUUUAUAGGAAACUAUAAGCGUUUGGGCUCCGGGGGGAGUAUGGUCGCAAGACUGAAACUUAAAGGAAUUGACGGAAGAGCACACAAGGAGUGGAGCCUGCGGCUUAAUUUGA
RNAcentral lists this ribosomal RNA (1099 nucleotides) under uncultured soil eukaryote. RNAcentral describes it as "SSU rRNA". It matches the Rfam family "Eukaryotic small subunit ribosomal RNA", at positions 15 to 1198 of the family's 1831-position model. The record is from RNAcentral.